AUUGAACGCUGGCGGCAUGCCUUACACAUGCAAGUCGAACGGUAACAGGUUAAGCUGACGAGUGGCGAACGGGUGGGUAAUAUAUCGGAACGUGCCCAGCCGUGGGGGAUAACGUAGCGAAAGCUACGCUAAUACCGCAUACGAUCUACGGAUGAAAGCGGGGGAUCGCAAGACCUCGCGCGAUUGGAGCGGCCGAUAUCAGAUUAGGUUGUUGGUGAGGUAAAAGCUCACCAAGCCUGCGAUCUGUAGCUGGUCUGAGAGGACGACCAGCCACACUGGAACUGAGACACGGUCCAGACUCCUACGGGAGGCAGCAGUGGGGAAUUUUGGACAAUGGACGCAAGUCUGAUCCAGCAAUGCCGCGUGCAGGACGAAGGCCUUCGGGUUGUAAACUGCUUUUGUACGGAACGAAACGGUGAGCUCUAAUACAGUUUGCUAAUGACGGUACCGUAAGAAUAAGCACCGGCUAACUACGUGCCAGCCGCCGCGGUAA
RNAcentral lists this ribosomal RNA (493 nucleotides) under uncultured bacterium. RNAcentral's name for it is "partial 16S ribosomal RNA". It matches the Rfam family "Bacterial small subunit ribosomal RNA", at positions 30 to 523 of the family's 1533-position model. The record is from RNAcentral.